AGGUGAGCCGGGACAGCCUUCUUCCUCCGCCCAGCCGCCACAGUAAUUUGUCGUCAAGUCUGCCACAGGAGGAUAUUUUAUUCUGGGUUAACCUGCUUUUAUCCUUCGCAGGUUGUUUAUCCAUGUUUGUGUAAUUUUAAUUACUCCUAGAAUUUCCGCAUGUGUUAGCAGUAUUUAUUUGAAUUUGGUCUGUAAUAUUUUUAUCAUGUUGGACCUGUAAACUUAAAUAUGUUAUGCAUGUUGAUGGAUUGGAUGAGGGAGCUGAGCUCCCAUUUAUUUUAUGUUGAUGAGUAUGUGGAGGGUGAGCUGAGCUCCCCAAUUGAGUA
Molecule: long non-coding RNA, 326 nt
Organism: Hevea brasiliensis (rubber tree)
Lineage: Eukaryota; Viridiplantae; Streptophyta; Magnoliopsida; Malpighiales; Euphorbiaceae
Exons: 2
Source: RefSeq, a predicted model, not a curated record